This 301-nucleotide ribosomal RNA is filed under the name uncultured bacterium. RNAcentral's name for it is "partial 16S ribosomal RNA". It matches the Rfam family "Bacterial small subunit ribosomal RNA", at positions 509 to 808 of the family's 1533-position model. The record is from RNAcentral.
CAGCAGCCGCGGUAAAACGUAGGUCCCGAGCGUUGUCCGGAUUUAUUGGGCGUAAAGCGCGUCUAGGUGGUUAUGUAAGUCUGAUGUGAAAAUGCAGGGCUCAACUCUGUAUUGCGUUGGAAACUGUGUAACUAGAGUACUGGAGAGGUAAGCGGAACUACAAGUGUAGAGGUGAAAUUCGUAGAUAUUUGUAGGAAUGCCGAUGGGGAAGCCAGCUUACUGGACAGAUACUGACGCUAAAGCGCGAAAGCGUGGGUAGCAAACAGGAUUAGAUACCCCCGUAGUCCCUGUCUCUUAUACC